AACGCAGCGAAGGGCGAUAAGUAGUGUGAAUUGCAGAAUUCAGUGAAUCAUCGAAUCUUUGAACGCACCUUGCGCCUUUUGGCAUUCCGAAAGGCACACCUGUUUGAGUGUCGUGUAACCCUCAACCUCACCCUUUGAAGGGCUGCAGGCUUGGAUGUUGAGUGUUGCUGCGGUAUGCAGCUCACUUUAAAUGCAUGAGCAUUCCCUUUACUGCUCGGAUUGACUCGGCGUAAUAACAUGUCCGUUGAGGAUGCCUAUCCGGCGGCCGGAAAGUAAGGGUGGCUACUAAUGGCUCUAGCGCGUUUGUACUUUAGACCUCAGAUCAGGUGGGACUACCCGCUGAACUUAA
Molecule: ribosomal RNA, 349 nt
Filed under: uncultured fungus
Lineage: Eukaryota; Fungi
Description: eukaryotic LSU rRNA
Rfam family: 5.8S ribosomal RNA (bases 1-113)
Source: RNAcentral